Rhagoletis pomonella (apple maggot) is the source of this 2101-nucleotide long non-coding RNA. RefSeq lists it as uncharacterized. The record is from RefSeq and is a predicted model, not a curated record. Lineage: Eukaryota; Metazoa; Arthropoda; Insecta; Diptera; Tephritidae. The transcript has 3 exons.
CCACCGGUCGAAUAGGAUGGCAUUGAAUCAAGCCAACCGCCAGCCAGCCAGGCAAGUCAACAGGCGCAAGGGUGAGAUGGGUUGCGGAGAAAAGGUAGACAAGAUAGUCAGUCACAGCAGCGCAGCAAAAGCAGCAUCCAUCUCACCACUGGGGUCCAUUCAGCCGGCAGCGCUGCAAACAAACAGCAGCCUUACCAAAUCUCGCACAUCACAUUAAAACCAACGCAAUUGCCCAAAGUCUUCCUUAACACACAGACUUGGCCUUCUAUAACCACCGCACCACCGUAUGGGUGCUACUGCUGCAGCCUCACGUGAACAAGUUCAGCUAUUGCACACACUCAUAUAUAUUGAUGAGCACACUCUCAGCGUCAACUUGUGCAUGCCUGUGCUGCCCGACGACGACGACGACGCCGACGACAACGACUAUGACUAUGACGCUCGUCAUCCGAUCGGGGAGUCAUUGCAGGUUACCAGCAGCGUCGUGUUGUGUCGUGUGCGAUGCCUACACCUUAGUUAUGUUUGUGCAUACAUAUGUACAUGCCAACAACAGGAAUAGUUCAAAGUCUCCACCGCUGGUAAUCCAUUCAAGUGCAACAACAACACCACACAUCUUCUCCAACCAUCCGACUCCUUCAAUUUUGCAUAUUGUUUUUUUUUCUACAUCAGCAUCUUAAACAUCCACCAAUGCCAUGUUGUGCGCGCGGUUUACGCUCACGCGCGCUCUUUUGUUGGCUCCCUGCGCUUUUGGCACAUUUUUGUUUGGAUAUUUUUUCGUAGCCUGAAACAGUUGUAGUCUCCAACCUGCAACGAAAUGACGACGACUCCCUUACCACCUGUACUUCAAUACAUCGUACUAUAGCCGAACUGUAGCUAUCCUCCGCUUCCUUGGCCCUUCACAACUCCUGUUAUCACGAUUAUCACGAUUUGUUGGUUGCGCCAACAGCAUCACUAUCGUGGUCAUAAUUAUCGUCACCUUCAUUAGCGUUUUCAUCAUUGUCAGCAAAAUCAUCAUCAUCAUCAGCAACAUAUUCUUUUCAAAAUGUUUAGCUUCAUGAACCUUCGUUUUGUUGCUUGGAGAGCGUUUAAGUUGCCUUCGCAGCAGCUGUGCUGCAGACAGGCGGUCGGUCGGUCAGUCAUUCGAGUUGAGAGCGGUUAAUGCAGUCAACCUUUGUUAAUAAGUUAUGUACGUCGUCAUUUGGAGAAUCGUUAAGGCGAAAAAAGCAUCAAGGGGUUAGCAAAAGACUCGAGUAAAACCACUGUGUGGUAUACGUAAUAUUUGCCGCUACGUUUUGGAGGUGAAUGCACGCAGCACAAAAAGAUGCACUCUAACCAAACAAAAAGCUGCAGGGAAUGUGUACAAUAGCACGCUGGUAGAAAAUACGAGAAAAGGAAAGCGAGCUCUCAAUGAAAGGAAUAAAUGCAAAUAACUUUUAGGAGUCGCAAGCAAAUUAAAAGGCAAAAAAACCCAAAUUAAGAUUACAAAUUACAAUUUAUGCAUCUGAUGCAGGACACAAAAAAAAACUGACGGGCGGCAUUAGAUGGCUAUAGUUUAAUUGCAUUGUUGAAGAAAGGCCUAUUGGAAAAAGGUGAGACCGUCCACGAAGCUAAGACCAAGACCAUUGUACAUCGCCAUAAAACGCCUACCGGUAAUAACACCAGAGCAAAAACAACCAACUGCGUGUAUUUUGUUGUUCAUUUGUACUCUAAAACAUCAAAAAAGGUUUCAAAAUUUGAAUUUUCUCUAGGUAUCCAAACCUUUACAAUUUUUAUAACACAAAAAUCGGUCACUAAAAAAAUAAAGUCCCAAAAAGUUCGAAAAGUAAAAAGAAUCCUAAAUUGUUGUCCAGGAGGUGCUGGGAUCAAAGCAACAUGGUUAACUUUAUUCUACAAUAUUUUGCGCCGGGACUUUUAUAACAUCGAAAAAAAUAACUGUUAUUUUCGGCCCCUACUUUUUACAGACUAAUUUUGCUCAACUUUGCUUUGUUCAUCGGCACUUUUUUUGGGGAAAGUUUGGGUGCCCAAUGCCCGCUCCAACUUAGCCAACCACCCUGACGGUUGAAAAAAAUUAGUUAUAAAUUUUUUUUUGUUGACAGGGAUAUGA